Molecule: ribosomal RNA, 894 nt
Filed under: Verrucaria viridula
Lineage: Eukaryota; Fungi; Ascomycota; Eurotiomycetes; Verrucariales; Verrucariaceae
Description: eukaryotic LSU rRNA
Rfam family: 5.8S ribosomal RNA (bases 447-600)
Source: RNAcentral
GAAGUAAAAGUCGUAACAAGGUUUGGUUGAACGGGAAGCCUUUGACACAACGACUAUAACCAUGUGUACAGUCUAGACAUCAUUCUUUCUAGGCGACGUUGCCCCUGUGCUGGGACCCUAUCAUGGUCGAUAGUGGACCAGCAGCCAGUUUCUGGUUCACAGAUUAGGUGGUGACGGUCCCGGUUUGACGAACCGAGAUCAAGAUAUAAUCGGUCUCUAUAGGCGAUUACUAUAGUUGAAGACGUUCCGUAGGUGAACCUGCGGAAGGAUCAUUAUUGAGUUAGGGUCCUCCGGGCCCCAUCUCCAACCCUUGCUUAUUCUACCAUGUUGCUUUGGCGGGCCCGUCCUUAACCGGACCGCCGGGAUCUUACUCCCUGGCCCGUGCUCGUCAGUAGCCCCAUUCAAUUCUGUUCUCAGUGACGUCUAAGUACCAAUAUAAUAACUAAAACUUUCAACAACGGAUCUCUUGGUUCUGGCAUCGAUGAAGAACGCAGCGAAAUGCGAUAAGUAAUGCGAAUUGCAGAAUUCCGUGAGUCAUCGAAUCUUUGAACGCACAUUGCGCCCUCUGGUAUUCCGGAGGGCAUGCCUGUUCGAGCGUCAUUAUCAACCCUCAAGCUCGGCUUGCUGUUGGACCGCACCGUCUCCUCGACGGUGGGUCCCAAAGAUAAUGGCAGAGUCUGGAGGACCCUGGGUGCAGCGAGCUUCUUAGCACGCGUCCAGAUGGUGUUCCGGCUUGGUCUCAACUAUCAAUUUCUUCUGGUUGACCUCGGAUCAGGUAGGGAUACCCGCUGAACUUAAGCAUAUCAAUAAGCGGAGGAAAAGAAACCAACAGGGAUUGCCUCAGUAACGGCGAGUGAAGCGGCAACAGCUCAAAUUUGAAAUCUGGCUCCGUCG